Molecule: regulatory RNA element, 187 nt
Organism: Treponema denticola ATCC 35405
Lineage: Bacteria; Pseudomonadati; Spirochaetota; Spirochaetia; Treponematales; Treponemataceae
Rfam family: TD-1 RNA
About the family: non coding RNA found in Treponema denticola
Source: Rfam
GUUUAUCUAUCGAGUUUUGUGCGUUGCACAAAACAUCGUAUUAUUGUAUGCGGUUUGUAAACAAACCGCUUGAAAAAACUUUUUUUGCAAAUUGAUUCGCUAUCCGCUUUAGCGGAUACGAUAAAAAAUUUCCUUGCAGAACAGAACCGCAAGGGUCUGAUAUUUGCUACAAAAAGUUUUUAUAGGA